GCUGAAACUAUAUAUCUCAAUAACAACUCAUAUACCAACUGUAAAUGCGGCCAAGACGCCUCGAGAUACUGUUCUUCCUCUUCAGGUUCCACAUUUUCCGACCCAGUAUUCUCAUGUGACGCCGGAGGCAAGCACCGGAAUAUAUUAACAGAUAUCAUUUUCAACAUUUCUUCCUGAUUAAUUUCACUGAUUUUCAAAGAAUUAGAUUGAACGCAAUCCACAAGUUCGGCUAGUGUUUGUCGUUUGAUCUCUUUUUCCCU
Molecule: unclassified non-coding RNA, 260 nt
Filed under: Hevea brasiliensis (rubber tree)
Lineage: Eukaryota; Viridiplantae; Streptophyta; Magnoliopsida; Malpighiales; Euphorbiaceae
Source: RNAcentral